Molecule: ribosomal RNA, 242 nt
Filed under: uncultured bacterium
Lineage: Bacteria
Description: partial 16S ribosomal RNA
Rfam family: Bacterial small subunit ribosomal RNA
Source: RNAcentral
CAUGUGGUUUAAUUCGACGCAACGCGAGGAACCUUACCUAGGCUUGACAUGUGGUGAGUAGCGAACCAAAGGGGAGCGACCCGUCAAAUCGGGCCAUCACACAGGUGCUGCAUGGCUGUCGUCAGCUCGUGCCGUGAGGUGUUGGGUUCAGUCCCGCAACGAGCGCAACCCUCGCCCUUUGUUGCCAUCGGGUAAAGCCGGGCACUCUAAGGGGACUGCCAGCGACAAGUUGGAGGAAGGAG